Molecule: ribosomal RNA, 463 nt
Filed under: uncultured bacterium
Lineage: Bacteria
Description: partial 16S ribosomal RNA
Rfam family: Bacterial small subunit ribosomal RNA
Source: RNAcentral
GAUGAACGCUGACAGAAUGCUUAACACAUGCAAGUCUUUGGCGAAGCUGUGCUUGCACAGCCUAGCCAAGGCGGACGGGUGAGUAACGCGUAAGGAACUUGCCCUGCAGUCAGGGAUAACAGACGGAAACGACUGAUAAGACCUGGUAAAGUCAGGCGGACUCAUGUCCAGCCUGAUGAAAAGAGAUGCUGCAGGAGAGCCUUGCGUCCUAUUAGCUUGUUGGUAGGGUAACGGCCCAACAAGGCGAUGAUAGGUAGCCGGCCUGAGAGGGUGGACGGCCACAAGGGGACUGAGAUACGGCACUUACUCCUACGGGAGGCAGCAGUGGGGAAUAUUGGACAAUGGGGGCAACCCUGAUCCAGCAAUUCGGUGUGCACGAUGAAGGUUUUCGGAUUGUAAAGUGCUUUCAGCAGGGAAGAAAAAAAUGACGGUACCUGCAGAAGAAGCGACGGCUAAAUACGUG